GCGGGUAUGGUUCAGUGGUAGAAUUCCUCCUUGCCAAGGAGAAGAUGCGGGUUCGAUUCCCGCUACCCGCC
RNAcentral lists this transfer RNA (71 nucleotides) under Spirogyra maxima. RNAcentral describes it as "tRNA-Gly". It matches the Rfam family "tRNA". From Rfam's summary of the family: Transfer RNA (tRNA) molecules are approximately 80 nucleotides in length. RNAcentral also lists the same sequence under 2 other names. Lineage: Eukaryota; Viridiplantae; Streptophyta; Zygnematophyceae; Spirogyrales; Spirogyraceae. The record is from RNAcentral.